This is a long non-coding RNA of Cyanistes caeruleus (blue tit), 3079 nucleotides long. NCBI's taxonomy places the organism in Eukaryota, Metazoa, Chordata, Aves, Passeriformes, Paridae. The record is from Ensembl.
AGCAUUGUCCAUUUAACACAGGUUUAUUUUAAAAAGAAAAAAAAAAAAAAAAAAAGAAACAGGUUACGUAUACCCAUUGCAGUUCAACAGAAAGUUCUCCUUCUUUCAAGUGGGUAGUGGCCUAAAAUGUCAGUAUGGACAGGAAGAUGUGCUGGAUUUAAUCACAGCCUAAUGAACUGUUCUUUUUACUGAAGAUGUAAUUGUCAGUACGUGCAGAAGUCUCAGGCAGACUUAGGUAAGGGAUUUUUAAUGAAGUCUAAAGAGGAGUACAACUUUCUGUAACACUCACUCCCAGGGUUCAUUCCUAAAACCCAAACAUGUUGCUUUAUAUUACUUUUUACUUUUUCAUCUUUGCAACUCACCUGAGCACCAUGGAGAGAAACCAGAAUCCCAAACCCAUGCAUCUUGUCUCAAGAGACUGGAGCCAUUGUUUUUAAACUGCUCACCUGCUAUUUUUACGGAUUUAUUUUAUUCUUAAAAAAUAUUUUCUCUCUUCAGUCUGAUGGAGCAAAUAUGUUUGACCUGACUGCUAAUAACACCUCCCUGUGCAUUCCCUUAGUCCCUAAGAAAGGGAGGCUGUGAUAUCACAUAUCAAAAUGUGCUCAGGUGUUGCCAACAGCUGAGUGACCUCGUGAGACACAAGGGCAAAGAUGACUCAGUUCUGCCUGGAUGGAUAAGGGAGCAGAAACCUACAGGCUGCAGGCUUCAUAGCUCCCACACAAGCACCCCACAGCCAAAACCAUCCGUGGGUCUGCUCUGAAGGUGAAGACCAGCCCAAAACGUGCUCAUCUUACGCCCAGAUUUCACACGGCCAAAAGCGAGCUGCUCCCUCGCUAGCGCAACACAUUGAAUUACUGCCACUAAAUGAAAACAAUCUGGUUGGUUUCCUCAUGAUCUGGGUUGGUUUUCCAGCACAGGCUCCAUGCCCUGGGUGGGGACAGCCCCUGGCUGUGUGUGCCCUUGGUGGGUGCCCAGCAGCCGAGGCCGUGGGCGCUCGCACACCCGUGGGGCUGCGUGCAGCCACUCGCUCUCCUCCGACCACGCAGGAGCUCCCACCCCAUGGCAACAGGGCACAAACAGCAGUGUUCUGGGUGGCUGUUUGCAGGUUGUGGCUGGCAGUUGCUAUGGGUGCCUGGCAGGCAGGUGAGAGAAGCCCUCCUGAGGGGCACUGCCAGCAGCUGGCUGCUCCUACCUGCCAGGCACGCAAGGUUUUCCUCCCACCCUUUGCACGGAGAGCCAAGGAGGAUGGAUGGACACAGACAGGUGAGGCAAAACAGCCUUCAACGUGGUCACUUUGAAUUAUGUUCCGUGUUGGUGUGGCACCUCCAGCCAGCUUCCCUGAUUUCUGGUGCUCAACAGCCUUCUGUCUGCGAAAGCAGAGUGAGAAAGCGCUCCUUCCUUCAGAUGUGAAGAAACAGUUGUGCUCAGUAAUGCACAAAUGUGAAAUGGAAGUAAAUGAGGAAUUAUCCAAAUGGGCAGGACCUACCACCUAUGCUGAAAGGAAACCCUACCAUUAAAUCCUGGAGAUUAAUGCACUAAAAUCCAAUGUAAUGUGACCUAGCAAACAGGACUGAAGCACACAGUGAAGGCGGUUUUCCUUUCCUCGGUAAGAAGAGGCAGGAGGAGGAAAAAAAUAGCGUUUUUUUGUCUGCUUGAUAUUUGAUAACAACUAACAGACACCUUUCCUCAUCUUUUCUUCUCAGGAGGAUGCAAAGCAACCAUUCCACUGGCGAUGUUUGCUCUGGAGAUAUUCCACCAGCGGAGGAACAGUCAGCACUAACGCACACACAGCAGCCUCCUGUCAGAUACAUCCCUUCAUCCCCAGCGUGGUUAGAGGCUAAUUGAGAGAAAUACAUUCCUACACAAUGGCUAACGAGAACAGAUUCAUGCAUGUGUGUGUUUGUUUAGAGAAAUGCAUGUACACUUUAUUUUGUUGUUGUAUUUCGCCUGGAGAAAUAUGCUGAAGUAACCAAACUUUUGCUGGGAACAGUAACACCAGCUGUUGAAGGACACAGAAAUUUACACCCUGUCACAUAAAUGCUUUGUUUACUGUAGUUUGAGAAAUGCCAUGAGGGGGAAAUCAAGCAAGACUGAGGACAAGUUUUAUCUUUGCAGGUUUCCUUCCACUUGCACUGGAAGUCUCCAGCAUUUGAAGAUUUGUUUGAGCCCACCUGGAUGGCGUUUUUCUGUCUUGUACUGAAGAUUUAAUAUUAGUUUUCUCUGCAAGGUCAUUGGUACACAAAGAAAGAAAAAAAUCCCAACAUGCCUUUGAAAUCCUUCCACCACCAGGGCUCUGCCCAUUUUUCAUCUGAGGGAAUACAAACGACAAACUGAUUUAAAUCUGGCAGCAAUAGCCACAGAAGUAUGUUAGGACUGCAGCCCUCCUAGCACCACAUGGAGGAGAGUGAGAUCCAAUAGCAUUCCCUAACUUCCCAUUUUCUGUUGAUUGCCAAAUCCUCUAGCUGGUGCCUUCUCCUCUUUUCUGGCAAAGAUGAGUAGCUCCUGCUGUCUUUGCUUGUCCUGGUCACCAUGUGUUGGUCCUGCACCUCAGGAGAUGUGUCCUCCAUCAAAGCCAAGGUCCAUUUCCAAGUGCAAUUAAAUUGUGGCUCAGAAAACGACAAUGCAAAAUGUAAGGGAACAACAUUACCUUGGAGGAAAUUGUGUAUUCAGCAGGUCCUCCUCACACAGCUUCCACAAAGCAUAACUUCUCCAGGGCAUCACGGCUGGACUUGGUAACAGGUGUGACUUCCUUCCUCUGUAGGACAUUGCGUUUUUAGAAAUGGUUGCCUUCGCCUCGUUUUGUGACCCUACAUUUUCAAAUAUUGAAUUCUUUAAACUGAAAACACAUGGCUGUGUCUAAUUACCAUUCCUAAUUCCUGCUGAGAUAGCCUGAAGCUGAUGUUUUAAUGAGCUUCCUCAUUGUGGAGAAAAGCAAUCAGCAGGUAAUGAUAGGCUGGACAUUAUAAUGUCCUUCUCUUGCUGUUGUCUAGGUCAGUUCCAAACUGAUGUUAUCAUCACAAAUAAUCAAAAAAACCCUCAACAAACACCCCAAAUAAAAGGAAAUACUUGCAUAUCUGCA